Sinocyclocheilus anshuiensis is the source of this 453-nucleotide long non-coding RNA. RefSeq lists it as uncharacterized. The record is from RefSeq and is a predicted model, not a curated record. NCBI's taxonomy places the organism in Eukaryota, Metazoa, Chordata, Actinopteri, Cypriniformes, Cyprinidae. The transcript is spliced from 3 exons.
ACACAGACGAUGACGAGAGACACACAGUGAAGGUGAACGGAAGAAUAAGGCACGAGGGAUUGUGAACAAACAGAAAGAAAACGGCACAUGCCGAGGGAACUGGAGACCCAGCGAGGCAGCUGAGUCCGGCUCACGAUGAAAAGGAUCCGCUGCGGACUGCAAGCAGGAGCUAUGUGAAUGGAAGAGACUGUAGAUCUGUAGAUAGCGGAGACAGAAGUGCAAGGGAUGGUUGGGCUGCAUGGGCUCUGUUGUUGGCAUCGCUGCUGUCCUACUCUGCUGUUGCUACCCUUCCCCCUGCGCUCUGAACCCCUUCAACACACACAGAUAUGAGCUCCAAACACUCGUCUGACUGGAUCCCUUACAGCACCUUGGAUGAUGAGGGCACGAACCUGCGACAACAGAAGCUGGACAGACAGCGAGCUUUAUUGGAACAGAAGCAGAAAAAGAAACGUC